Crotalus tigris (Tiger rattlesnake) is the source of this 914-nucleotide long non-coding RNA. RefSeq lists it as uncharacterized. NCBI's taxonomy places the organism in Eukaryota, Metazoa, Chordata, Lepidosauria, Squamata, Viperidae. The record is from RefSeq and is a predicted model, not a curated record. The transcript is spliced from 5 exons.
GAUAGAAAACGGAAGGAAUCUUUUACUAUUUGUGGGGCACACAGCACUCAAGGGUUCACUAUAUAAAGAGAUUCAGUCCUUCUCUCAAGGAGUCUGGGGACAUCGGACAGAGAUCAGUCCCAACCUGCGUGGACAUGUUUGAGAAUUACUCCUUUUAUUAAAGCAAAACCUCCCGGCCAGACAAUUGUGUUUCUUGAAGAAGAGAUCACUGUUUUUCUAACUUCUGUGCCUAACUCAUCAUCAUGCAGCUUCUCCUGGGGCUUUGCUUCUUCUCCGUCCUCCUGACUACAGAUGUCCAUUCUUGGGACAUGAGUAGGCCUUAAUCACGCCCUGGGUCAGGUAAAUGAGUGAGGGUCCUGAGGUAGUUCCGUACAGUGUUCACAUUGUAUUUCAGUUUAUGUACCUUGCUCUGGUGCAAAGGAAGAAUGUCCUGCUGGGGCUGAUGUCUGUAUGAAUUUCAGUUUGCAACAUAAAGAAAAGAAAGAGAUACAUGCCAACUUUGAAACUUGCGCUACAAAAAAGUAUUGUAAGAAAGUGGAAGAUCUGAUAGGGAAGCCUUCCCCUGAAGUCAUGGCUGCCAUACCUGGUUUCCCAGGAGACGUUACAAUUAAAGAGGUCAUCUGCAGCAAAGCCCCUCCCUCCUUUGCAUCGUUCUUCCCAGCAUUCCUUGGGCUCCUCCUGAUGAAGCUUCUCUUCUAAAGCUCCUCCUUCCACCCAAGAAGUUGUCCCCUUUCCUUGGCCUGUACAUCCUCUCAAACUGAUGAGGCAGGAUCUUUGAUAUGAUGCUUAAUCUUUUCCCAAACAGAAACCAGUUAAGCAGAAAGAAAUAUAAUCAGCAGCUUUGAAUGUGUGUUUGAACUAAAAAAAGAUGGUGUAAUUCAAAUACCCCCCCCCCAAUAAAUAAUAGGAUUCCA